GAUGAACGCUGGCGGCGUGCCUAAUACAUGCAAGUCGAGCGAACAGACGAGAAGCUUGCUUCUCUGAUGUUAGCGGCGGACGGGUGAGUAACACGUGGAUAACCUACCUAUAAGACUGGGAUAACUUCGGGAAACCGGAGCUAAUACCGGAUAAUAUUUUGAACCGCAUGGUUCAAUAGUGAAAGACGGUCUUGCUGUCACUUAUAGAUGGAUCCGCGCUGCAUUAGCUAGUUGGUAAGGUAACGGCUUACCAAGGCAACGAUGCAUAGCCGACCUGAGAGGGUGAUCGGCCACACUGGAACUGAGACACGGUCCAGACUCCUACGGGAGGCAGCAGUAGGGAAUCUUCCGCAAUGGGCGAAAGCCUGACGGAGCAACGCCGCGUGAGUGAUGAAGGUCUUCGGAUCGUAAAACUCUGUUAUUAGGGAAGAACAUAUGUGUAAGUAACUAUGCACAUCUUGACGGUACCUAAUCAGAAAGCCACGGCUAACUACGUG
Molecule: ribosomal RNA, 497 nt
Filed under: uncultured bacterium
Lineage: Bacteria
Description: partial 16S ribosomal RNA
Rfam family: Bacterial small subunit ribosomal RNA
Source: RNAcentral